Molecule: ribosomal RNA, 226 nt
Filed under: uncultured bacterium
Lineage: Bacteria
Description: partial 16S ribosomal RNA
Rfam family: Bacterial small subunit ribosomal RNA
Source: RNAcentral
GCGUUAUCCGGAUUCACUGGGUUUAAAGGGUGCGUAGGUGGGCAGUUAAGUCAGUGGUGAAAUCUCCGGGCUCAACCCGGAAACUGCCAUUGAUACUAUCUGUCUUGAAUAUCGUGGAGGUAAGCGGAAUAUGUCAUGUAGCGGUGAAAUGCUUAGAUAUGACAUAGAACACCAAUUGCGAAGGCAGCUUACUACCCGAAUAUUGACACUGAGGCACGAAAGCGUG